Molecule: ribosomal RNA, 916 nt
Filed under: Bacillus sp. NO13
Lineage: Bacteria; Bacillati; Bacillota; Bacilli; Caryophanales; Bacillaceae
Description: bacterial SSU rRNA
Rfam family: Bacterial small subunit ribosomal RNA
Source: RNAcentral
GGGCUCGCAGGCGGUUUCUUAAGUCUGAUGUGAAAGCCCCCGGCUCAACCGGGGAAGGGUCAUUGGAAACUGGGGAACUUGAGUGCAGAAGAUGGAGAUGUGGAAUUCCACGUGUAGCGGUGAAAUGCGUAGAAGAUGUGGAGGAACACCAGUGGCGAAGGCGACUCUCUGGUCUGUAACUGACGCUGAGGAGCGAAAGCGUGGGGAGCGAACAGGAUUAGAUACCCUGGUAGUCCACGCCGUAAACGAUGAGUGCUAAGUGUUAGGGGGUUUCCGCCCCUUAGUGCUGCAGCUAACGCAUUAAGCACUCCGCCUGGGGAGUACGGUCGCAAGACUGAAACUCAAAGGAAUUGACGGGGGCCCGCACAAGCGGUGGAAGCAUGUGGUUUUAAUUCGAAGCAACGCGAAGAACCUUACCAGGUCUUGACAUCUUCUGACAAUCCUAGAGAUAGGACGUCCCCUUCGGGGGCAGAGUGACAGGUGGUGCAUGGUUGUCGUCAGCUCGUGUCGUGAGAUGUUGGGUUAAGUCCCGCAACGAGCGCAACCCUUGAUCUUAGUUGCCAGCAUUCAGUUGGGCACUCUAAGGUGACUGCCGGUGACAAACCGGAGGAAGGUGGGGAUGACGUCAAAUCAUCAUGCCCCUUAUGACCUGGGCUACACACGUGCUACAAUGGACAGAACAAAGGGCAGCGAAACCGCGAGGUUAAGCCAAUCCCACAAAUCUGUUCUCAGUUCGGAUCGCAGUCUGCAACUCGACUGCGUGAAGCUGGAAUCGCUAGUAAUCGCGGAUCAGCAUGCCGCGGUGAAUACGUUCCCGGGCCUUGUACACACCGCCCGUCACACCACGAGAGUUUGUAACACCCGAAGUCGGUGAGGUAACCUUUUAGGAGCCAGCCGCCGAAGGUGGGACAGAUGA